RNAcentral lists this ribosomal RNA (253 nucleotides) under uncultured bacterium. RNAcentral describes it as "partial 16S ribosomal RNA". It matches the Rfam family "Bacterial small subunit ribosomal RNA", at positions 524 to 776 of the family's 1533-position model. The record is from RNAcentral.
UACGGGGGGUGCAAGCGUUGUUCGGAAUUAUUGGGCGUAAAGAGCGUGUAGGCGGUUUGUUUAGUCUGAUGUGAAAGCCCUGGGCUCAACCCAGGAAGUGCAUUGGAUACUGGCAGACUUGAAUACGGGAGAGGGUAGUGGAAUUCCUAGUGUAGGAGUGAAAUCCGUAGAUAUUAGGAGGAACACCGGUGGCGAAGGCGGCUACCUGGACCGAUAUUGACGCUGAGACGCGAAAGCGUGGGUAGCAAACAGG